Molecule: ribosomal RNA, 486 nt
Filed under: uncultured Arthrobacter sp.
Lineage: Bacteria; Bacillati; Actinomycetota; Actinomycetes; Micrococcales; Micrococcaceae
Description: partial 16S ribosomal RNA
Source: RNAcentral
CACGUAGUUAGCCGGCGCUUCUUCUGCAGGUACCGUCACCUUGCGGCUUCUUCCCUACUGAAAGAGGUUUACAACCCGAAGGCCGUCAUCCCUCACGCGGCGUCGCUGCAUCAGGCUUUCGCCCAUUGUGCAAUAUUCCCCACUGCUGCCUCCCGUAGGAGUCUGGGCCGUGUCUCAGUCCCAGUGUGGCCGGUCACCCUCUCAGGCCGGCUACCCGUCGUCGCCUUGGUAGGCCAUUACCCCACCAACAAGCUGAUAGGCCGCGAGUCCAUCCAAAACCGCAAAAGCUUUCCACCAACCACCAUGCGAUGAUCAGUCAUAUCCGGUAUUAGACCCAGUUUCCCAGGCUUAUCCCAGAGUCAAGGGCAGGUUACUCACGUGUUACUCACCCGUUCGCCACUAAUCCACCAGCAAGCUGGUUUCAUCGUUCGACUUGCAUGUGUUAAGCACGCCGCCAGCGUUCAUCCUGAGCCAGGAUCAAACUCU